GGGGCUGUAGCUCAGCUGGUUAGAGUGCCACACUGUCACUGUGGAGGUCAGGGGUUCGAUCCCCCUCAGCCUCG
This 74-nucleotide transfer RNA is filed under the name Candidatus Woesebacteria bacterium. RNAcentral's name for it is "tRNA-Asp". It matches the Rfam family "tRNA". Rfam says of the family: Transfer RNA (tRNA) molecules are approximately 80 nucleotides in length. Their secondary structure includes four short double-helical elements and three loops (D, anti-codon, and T loops). Further hydrogen bonds mediate the characteristic L-shaped molecular structure. tRNAs have two regions of fundamental functional importance: the anti-codon, which is responsible for specific mRNA codon recognition, and the 3' end, to which the tRNAs corresponding amino acid is attached (by aminoacyl-tRNA synthetases). tRNAs cope with the degeneracy of the genetic code in two manners: having more than one tRNA (with a specific anti-codon) for a particular amino acid; and 'wobble' base-pairing, i.e. permitting non-standard base-pairing at the 3rd anti-codon position. Lineage: Bacteria; Candidatus Woeseibacteriota. The record is from RNAcentral.